Molecule: long non-coding RNA, 825 nt
Organism: Rattus norvegicus (Norway rat)
Lineage: Eukaryota; Metazoa; Chordata; Mammalia; Rodentia; Muridae
Source: RefSeq, a predicted model, not a curated record
GCUUGGACCUCAUGAGCCCCUCCCUAUCGGUUCUGGAAUGUUAACUGCCUUGCUCUUGUGCAGGUCACCACUGAGGCUGUGAUCUCACAAGUGCAGUGACCACAUUAUGAUGCAAAGACAGAAUUUCGUGGCACUUUACCUGGAGGACUAGUCUUAGUUUUUUCUGACCGUAUUGAAAGGUUUUGGAUUUCUGUCUGAGGUAGAACUGGAAGAAGCUGAAGGGUUUUGAGAUGGUGGGUGAUGUGAAUGGAUUCGCCUUUCACCAGGGUCUUUUGGCUUCCCCUGAAGACUUAAAGAGCAAGUGAAGAGGCAGAGAGAUGACCUCACAGGCUGCUGCCUGUCGUUGAGGAGCAAUUGUAAUUCAUUUUCUCUUGAAGGCUGUCAACAGUUGAUGGAAUGAACAUGGGAGGAGAGAGAGAAACCUUCAGUUUCCCCCUGGGUGUCCAGCGAUUUGAAAUGAGCGUCCCGGGCAAGGGCCUGCUGCUGACAAGCUCGCCUGGAGCUUUGUUGUCAAGCUGCGACGGUGCGGUUGAUGAUUUAGAGUCGCCUGCCCUUGCAGUCAGAAUCAGAAAUGGACGGCGCCGGCGCUGGGAAGCAGUCAAUGAUGGCCUCUUUAUCUCCCGUUAACCGCUGGGAAGCGGUUUUCUUAUCACCGUGCGUUGAAGAAUAUCUCCGAACUGGACGCUUUGGAGGGCGAUGACAAACACAUCUUGUCUUGAAUACGUAGCCGGUGUGCAAAAAAGACACACACAAUCUAUAUGACCUUGUUCAAUCGGGAGAGCUGUAAAAGGAGCUAAAUAAGGAAAUAAAAUAACAUUUCUGGUU